Molecule: ribosomal RNA, 268 nt
Filed under: uncultured prokaryote
Description: partial 16S ribosomal RNA
Rfam family: Bacterial small subunit ribosomal RNA
Source: RNAcentral
UACGUAGGGGACGAGCGUUGUCCGGAAUUACUGGGCGUAAAGGGCGCGCAGGCUGCGUUACAAGUCAGCUGUUAAAUGCAUGGGCUUACCCCAUGAGUGCGGUUGAAACUGUAGUGCUAGAGUACUGUAGAGGCAAGCGGAAUUCCCAGUGUAGCGGUGAAAUGCGUAGAUAUUGGGAGGAACACCGGUGGCGUAGGCGGCUUGCUGGACAGUAACUGACGCUGAGGCGCGAAAGCCAGGGGAGCAAACGGGAUUAGAUACCCCGGUA